This 450-nucleotide ribosomal RNA is filed under the name Chelonus (Microchelonus) sp. Its description in RNAcentral is "Microchelonus sp. partial 28S ribosomal RNA". Lineage: Eukaryota; Metazoa; Arthropoda; Insecta; Hymenoptera; Braconidae. The record is from RNAcentral.
ACCGUUCAGAGGUAAACCUGAGAAACCCAAAAGAUCGAAUGAGGAGAUUCAUCGUCAAAAUAUUUGGUAUUAAUGUUAGUUAUGAUAUGGUAAAUAGUCCUUGUGGCUAGUAUUACUGUACAUUCUAGCAUUAUUUUGCCUUAUAUGUCUGCGUGCACUUCUCCUCUAGUAGAACGUCGCAACCCGUUAAAUGUUGUUUUAUGGCCCAAUUGAUUGCCUCUUUCUGCUUGCAGUGGGAGAUCAUUAGUGUUACCUGAUCAACUAUUUGACGGUAUUCAUAUGGUAUAAAGUCGCUAUUUUAUUAGCGUUAAUUUCAUCGCAAGUGCGGUUAAUUAUUGAUAGUACGGAUCUAAUGCCGUCGUUGAUAUUAACCAACUGUUGGUUGAUGAUAUACUUUAACUGACUUUAUUAUACCGGUUAGCGACGGUACUGCUUUGGGUACUCUCAGGA